AGUGGCGCUCUUCGCAUGCAGCCAUGCGCACGUGUGUGCUUGUGCGUCGCCGGUUUUCGAGGUAUUUCCCAAACUCCGGCUUGGCGUGACUUUUUUCUGUUAAAUGUUUGUUGUUGGUUUUUGAUUUUUUUUUUGGGUAGCCAUUUGGCACGUUUACCUCUUGUUUGCUGGUGGCCACAUAGUAAGAUAAGCGCAUUAAACUGUAUAUACCUAGGUAUGUACUUUGUGUCAAUAAGAAAAUAUUUAUAAGUGCGUUAUGCACUUUUAGUUUGCUUGCUCUCCGCAAGAGAAAAAAAUGUGAUUCACAUAAGUUUUGACAUUUUCCACUUCAUUUUGUACUUUGCUGAUAAGCAUUUUCUUAAUUUGUUAAAAAUAAAAACUAUUUUCAUCGCUGUACUAUGCACUGCAAGUUAGACUUUCGUUCAUGGGUGCAAUUAAACAUCCGCACUUUGGCCCAAAGUAAUACAUGCACACGCCUUUAUGUGCCACUAAAAUUUUGUAUGAUGCCCGGUGAUGUUUAACUUUAUUACAUACACAUUUUGAGAUAAACAUUUUAUUGUGCGGCUAAUGCAAAACUACUGUGUGCGUUGAAUAUUUACGGUUCAUGAACUCUUUAGUGCAUUGCUCGCUGAACACCAGCGGCGACAUGUUCGGCAGCUAUAAAUACCGCAAUAUUUCUUGAUGUUUACUUUGCAAGUGAUGACGACACAUUUAACGCCAGUUUCUGCAGAAGAAUACAAAAAUGUCACGAAGAGAGAUUUCGACACUGUAAUGGUUUACGCCACAACUGAAUGAACAUUGAAAAUAGCACGUGCCAAAAAUGUGCGCAUACUUUUCAAUUAACCAGGAUUUGUCAUCAAUUUCCCAUGAAUACAUUGAAAUGCAGAGAUCGCAUUAGCCGCCGCUAAUUUAAAUUAAAUUAAAAUGUUUCCAAGUCUUUUUGUUUCAAUAAUUUCCAGCAGUGCUUAAAAAACUUCGGUGUUUUCUGGUGUGCUUCGAUACCCUAGAUGUCUCAACGCAUGCAACAAAACAUUUCCCACACAAUUUAUUCAAUCUUAUUCAAUCUUCCUACUCAUAGUUCAACGGCAUCAUUCAUAGUCGCCGCUAAAUAGCAAAAUUAUGUUAAUGAAUAUUCAAAGUAAUCGAAAAUUGUGUGAUUUCGCUGAAAACGCCUACCAUAAACCAGCAAGCAGAAUUCGAACUUUAUGACGUCUGCUAAGCAAUAGAGCGCGCCGAUACUAAAAAUAAACGCACAAGGCAAAGCAUUGCGCGCGAUAAAUACUCACCACCACCCAGCAAUUCGACAAAAGCCACUACAAACAAACACACCAUGCCUACUUACAUUGAUGGCCAGAGCAACAACAACAGCAACCAGGUUGAGAGAGCGUAGUGCUGCUGUUUCUUCGUUGUGCAACGGUAAUAUCUAUAUGCUCUGUAGCAGCUCCGCACCAUACAGGUUCUAUGGUGUAAUGGUUAGCACUCUGGACUUUGAAUCCAGCGAUCCGAGUUCAAAUCUCGGUAGAACCUUCAAAAACAAAUUUUUUAUAAAUAAAAAUAUUAUUCGCGGAGAUUCUAAAAAGUCAUGUGUAUGUGUUAUGUUUAGAUUUUAAAAUAUUUCAAAAAUGUAUGUUGUACCCAC
Bactrocera oleae (olive fruit fly) is the source of this 1639-nucleotide long non-coding RNA. RefSeq lists it as uncharacterized. The record is from RefSeq and is a predicted model, not a curated record. Lineage: Eukaryota; Metazoa; Arthropoda; Insecta; Diptera; Tephritidae.